AGCAGCCGCGGUAAUUCCAGCUCCAAUAGCGUAUAUUAAAGUUGUUGUAGUUAAAAAGCUCGUAGUUGAAUUUCGGGAUCAAUAUGUCGGUCGUGCCUUGGUACGUACUGGUAUCAUUGGUCUCUCCUUUCUGACGAACCAUGAUGUCAUUAAUUUGGUGUUAUGGGAAGUUGGACUGUUACUUUGAAAAAAUUAGAGUGUUUAAAGCAAGCUAACGCUUGAAUACAUUAGCAUGGAAUAAUGAAAUAGGACGUUCGAUCCUAUUUUGUUGGUUUCUAGGAUUGACGUAAUGAUUAAUAGGGAUAGUUGGGGGCAUUAGUAUUCAAUUGUCAGAGGUGAAAUUCUUGGAUUUAUUGAAGACUAACUACUGCGAAAGCAUUUGCCAAGGAUGUUUUCAUUAAUCAAGAACGAAAGUUAGGGGAUCGAAGA
RNAcentral lists this ribosomal RNA (429 nucleotides) under uncultured Glomus. Its description in RNAcentral is "SSU rRNA". It matches the Rfam family "Eukaryotic small subunit ribosomal RNA", at positions 569 to 1004 of the family's 1831-position model. Lineage: Eukaryota; Fungi; Glomeromycota; Glomeromycetes; Glomerales; Glomeraceae. The record is from RNAcentral.